Molecule: unclassified non-coding RNA, 663 nt
Filed under: Hevea brasiliensis (rubber tree)
Lineage: Eukaryota; Viridiplantae; Streptophyta; Magnoliopsida; Malpighiales; Euphorbiaceae
Source: RNAcentral
GGUAUCAAAUUGGGUAAAUAAUGGAUAGGUUUAGAAUUUGACCAAAUAGUCUACAUUUGUUUGAGUAACUUUAUUAAAUGUUUGAGGUAUAUAGUUAGACACAUUGACUUCUGAAUGUUGGAGAAACUUAAUUAUGGAGUCACAUGAAGACGAUUGUCUGGAGCAUGUGGAGAAAUACCAUAUUUGAGGGAGAACUAUUAUCUUUUAAUUUUGGACCUCUAAUGGCACGUGUGAAUAGAGGUGUGUGGAUAUAGAUACACAUUUAUGUGGAUAGCUAUGGAUGUAGAAGCUCCCCAACCAAAAACAAAUCCAGAUUAAAUUUUCUGUUGUUUGGUGAUAUGUCUGAUUAGAAGGCUAUGUAAACUCGCCCAAAGGAGUUGGAUAACUACUGAAAAAAAGGGGUAUUGAUUAAUAAAAUUGUCCAUGCCAACAUACAGAAGAAAGUGUGGAAUUGCGUGUGGUUUAGAAAUCUGAAGUGUUGAUGGAUAAACAGCACAAGCUUUCGAAAUGGGUCAGUGGUAAAAUGUGAGAGAACAAUUUACAGUUUUGUAUUUUUUUACUUUGAGCUUGAGCCCUAUUUUAUAUUCAGUGAUCUUGGUAAAUCUUAUUUUAUCAUUAUAGUAUUGUUAUCAUCAUCAGAUUGAUUAUUAUUAUUAUUAUUAU